CAGUCGACGAGAAGGGAUUGCUUGCAAUCCUGAGUAGAGUGGCGCACGGGUGAGUAACACGUAGAUAAUCUACCUUUGAACCUGGGAUAACUAAUCGAAAGGUUAGCUAAUACCGGAUGAAGUUAAUCGGCACAAGUUGAUUGAUGAAAGACUGCCUCUGCUUGCAAGCAGUUGUUUGGAGAUGAGUUUGCGGACCAUUAGCUAGUUGGUGGGGUAAAGGCCUACCAAGGCGAUGAUGGUUAGCUGGUCUGAGAGGAUGAUCAGCCACACUGGAACUGAAACACGGUCCAGACUCCUACGGGAGGCAGCAGUGAGGAAUUUUGCGCAAUGGGGGCAACCCUGACGCAGCAACGCCGCGUGAGUGAAGAAGGCCUUUGGGUCGUAAAGCUCUGUCAACCGGGAAGAAGUUAUGGGAGUCGAAUAGGCUUUCAUAUUGACGGUACCGGUGAAGGAAGCAUCGGCUAACUCCGUGCCAGCAGCCGCGGUAAUACGGGGGAUGCAAGCGUUAUUCGGAAUUAUUGGGCGUAAAGGGCGCGUAGGCGGUUUUGUCGGUCAGAUGUGAAAGCCCGGGGCUCAACCCCGGACGUGCAUUUGAAACAGCAAGACUUGAGUACGGGAGAGGAAAGCGGAAUUCCUGGUGUAGAGGUGGAAUUCGUAGAUAUCAGGAGGAACACCGAUGGCGAAGGCAGCUUUCUGGACCGAUACUGACGCUGAGGCGCGAAGGCGUGGGUAGCGAACAGGAUUAGAUACCCUGGUAGUCCACGCAGUAAACAAAUGUACACUCGGUGUAGCGGAUAUUAAAAUCUGCUGCGCCCAAGCUAACGCUUUAAGUGUACCCCCCUGGGAGUACGGUCGCAAGACUAAAACUCCAAAGGAAUUGACGGGGGUCCCCCCCAAGCCGGGGAACAGGGGGGUUUAAAUUCAAAGCAACCGCGAAGAAACCUUACCUGGGGUUUGACAUCCUGGGAAAUCUUUGUAAAAAAUUACAAAAGGUGCCCUUUCGGGAACCCC
This 1011-nucleotide ribosomal RNA is filed under the name uncultured bacterium. Its description in RNAcentral is "bacterial SSU rRNA". It matches the Rfam family "Bacterial small subunit ribosomal RNA", at positions 59 to 1029 of the family's 1533-position model. The record is from RNAcentral.